Molecule: ribosomal RNA, 294 nt
Filed under: Enoploides sp. TJP-2010
Lineage: Eukaryota; Metazoa; Nematoda; Enoplea; Enoplida; Thoracostomopsidae
Description: partial 18S ribosomal RNA
Rfam family: Eukaryotic small subunit ribosomal RNA
Source: RNAcentral
UAUAGUUUAUUGGAUCUUACUCUACAUGGAUACCUGUGGUAACCUAAGAGCUAAUACAUGCAACAAAGCCCUAUUGCAGGGCGCACUUAUUAGAACAAAACCAAUCGGGCUCGCCCGCCGUUUGGUGGAUCUGAAUAACUAUGCUGAUCGCACAGUCCUCGUACUGGCGAUGUAUCUUUCAAAUAUCUGCCUUAUCAACUGUCGAUGGUAGCUUACACGACUACCAUGGUUGUAACGGGUAACGGAGAAUUAGGGUUCGACUCCGGAGAGGGAGCCUGAGAAACGGCUACCACA